GCCAUGGCUCAAUGGUUGAGCAUCUGCUUGUCACACAAAGAUCUGAGGUUCAAUCCCCAGUAUCUCUA
RNAcentral lists this transfer RNA (68 nucleotides) under Sphaerodactylus townsendi. RNAcentral describes it as "tRNA-Asp". The record is from RNAcentral. Lineage: Eukaryota; Metazoa; Chordata; Lepidosauria; Squamata; Sphaerodactylidae.